RNAcentral lists this ribosomal RNA (254 nucleotides) under uncultured bacterium. RNAcentral's name for it is "partial 16S ribosomal RNA". It matches the Rfam family "Bacterial small subunit ribosomal RNA", at positions 524 to 776 of the family's 1533-position model. The record is from RNAcentral.
UACAGAGGUCCCAAGCGUUGUUCGGAUUCAUUGGGCGUAAAGGGCGCGUAGGCGGCCACCGCAAGUCGACUGUGAAAUCUCCGGGCUUAACCCGGAAAGGUCAGCCGAUACUGCGGGGCUAGAGUGCAGAAGGGGCAACUGGAAUUCUCGGUGUAGCGGUGAAAUGCGUAGAUAUCGAGAGGAACACCUGCGGCGAAGGCGGGUUGCUGGGCUGACACUGACGCUGAUGUGCGAAAGCUAGGGGAGCGAACGGG